This is a long non-coding RNA of Lepus europaeus (European hare), 1085 nucleotides long. RefSeq lists it as uncharacterized. The record is from RefSeq and is a predicted model, not a curated record. The transcript is spliced from 3 exons. NCBI's taxonomy places the organism in Eukaryota, Metazoa, Chordata, Mammalia, Lagomorpha, Leporidae.
CAAACACCGAAUGACUACAUGUUGUCUUUCAGGCUCAAGGGUUUCUGAUUGUAAUCACUGAUGACUGAGGCCACUGACAUAAAGCGUGGCCUCAGGACGGUGCUCCUCUGUGUGGUGUUAUUCAGGGCAUUUGCACUCCCACGUCUGGCAUCAGAGCUGGGAUGCCUGAAAUGGCUGGAGGCAGACUGAGCGUGGCUCCCAACAGGGGCAGCGCUCCAAAGAAAUCAGCAGCUUGCAAGCAGAUAAUUCAUUUUAAGGAAGGGUGAGAUGAGACUGAAAAGGAAGUCCACCAUGGCAGACCAUCUACGUCAGUUUGCAAGGAAAAAAAUCAAAUUUUGCUCAUGCCCUAACUUAAGAAAGCCAAUGGUUAACAGCAAAACAAUAGCCACUUCAUAGACAUCUCAACUGGUUCAGCUAACACAAGCCUGACUGGAAAAUUAAAGUGGAGCAAACUGUCUGCUCGAUGGAGGCCAAGACAAUUACACUCAGGUCAGCUGCAGACAAAAGCAGAGCUUUCAAUGUACACUUGAAACAAGUGGGAUCAAGACCUGAAGCAUUUCCCUGAAGAAUUGUAGUGAAAGACGAAACACGGUUUUCCGAGUUAGAACUUGAAGACAAAGCACAAUCAACACAGCGGCUACCAAUAGGAGGAAGUGGCGCAGUCACAGCAAGAGCAGAUUGGUCCACAGGAAAGGUUGAGUUUUAGGAUGCCCAAAGCAUUCUGCUUGUUGACCAUUUGGAGAACCAAAGAUGAUAAAAUCUGCUCUUUGGCAGUGUUUUAAGAAUGCUACAGAUAAAGGAUUAAUAACCAGAAUCUACAAUGAAAUCAACAAAACAAACAACCCACUUGAGAGAUGGGCCAAGGACCUCAGUGGACAUUUUUCAAAAGAGGAAAUCCAAAUGGCCAACAGGCACAUGAAAAAAUGUUCAGGAUCACUAGCAAUCAGAGAAAUGCAAUUAAAACCACAAUGAGGUUUCACCUCACCCCGGUGAGAAUGGCUCACAUCCAGAAAUCUACCAACAACAGAUGCUGGCGAGGAUGUGGGGAAAAAGGGACACUAACCCACUGUUGGUGGGAAUGCAAA